Molecule: transfer RNA, 48 nt
Filed under: Plagiothecium zerovii
Lineage: Eukaryota; Viridiplantae; Streptophyta; Bryopsida; Hypnales; Plagiotheciaceae
Also listed under: 4 other names
Description: partial tRNA-Phe
Rfam family: tRNA
About the family: Transfer RNA (tRNA) molecules are approximately 80 nucleotides in length. Their secondary structure includes four short double-helical elements and three loops (D, anti-codon, and T loops).
Source: RNAcentral
GCCGGAAUAGCUCAGUCGGUAGAGCAGAGGACUGAAAAUCCUCGUGUC